RNAcentral lists this ribosomal RNA (468 nucleotides) under uncultured bacterium. Its description in RNAcentral is "partial 16S ribosomal RNA". It matches the Rfam family "Bacterial small subunit ribosomal RNA", at positions 28 to 507 of the family's 1533-position model. The record is from RNAcentral.
GACGAACGCUGGCGGCGUGCUUAACACAUGCAAGUCGAACGGAAAGGCCCUGCUUUUGUGGGGUGCUCGAGUGGCGAACGGGUGAGUAACACGUGAGUAACCUGCCCUUGACUUUGGGAUAACUUCAGGAAACUGGGGCUAAUACCGGAUAGGAGCUCCUGCUGCAUGGUGGGGGUUGGAAAGUUUCGGCGGUUGGGGAUGGACUCGCGGCUUAUCAGCUUGUUGGUGGGGUAGUGGCUUACCAAGGCUUUGACGGGUAGCCGGCCUGAGAGGGUGACCGGCCACAUUGGGACUGAGAUACGGCCCAGACUCCUACGGGAGGCAGCAGUGGGGAAUAUUGCACAAUGGGCGGAAGCCUGAUGCAGCAACGCCGCGUGCGGGAUGACGGCCUACGAGUUGUAAACCGCUUUCGCCUGUGACGAAGCGUGAGUGACGGUAAUGAGUAAAGAAGCACCGGCUAACUACGUG